CGACGUGGGUAACCUGCCUCAUACAGGGGGAUAACAGUUAGAGAUGACUGCUAAUACCGCAUAAGCGCACAGUGCUGCAUGGCACAGUGUGAAAAACUCCGGUGGUAUGAGAUGGACUCGCGUCUGAUUAGCUAGUUGGUGGGGUAACGGCCUACCAAGGCGACGAUCCAUAGCCGACCUGAGAGGGUGACCGGCCACAUUGGGACUGAGACACGGCCCAA
RNAcentral lists this ribosomal RNA (221 nucleotides) under uncultured bacterium. Its description in RNAcentral is "partial 16S ribosomal RNA". It matches the Rfam family "Bacterial small subunit ribosomal RNA", at positions 113 to 334 of the family's 1533-position model. The record is from RNAcentral.